Molecule: unclassified non-coding RNA, 300 nt
Filed under: uncultured Umbelopsis
Lineage: Eukaryota; Fungi; Mucoromycota; Umbelopsidomycetes; Umbelopsidales; Umbelopsidaceae
Description: sequence contains 5.8S rRNA gene, ITS2
Rfam family: 5.8S ribosomal RNA (bases 1-71)
Source: RNAcentral
GUGAAUCAUCGAAUCUUUGAACGCACAUUGCACUCCUUGGUAUUCCGAGGAGUAUGCCUGUUUCAGUAUCAUGAGCACUCUCACAACUAACCUUUGGGUGAAAUUGUGGAAUUGGAAUGCGCCGAUUGUAAUAAUCAGCCCUUCUAAAAUAUAUUUCAUGACUGUCACCUAACACAGCAGUUUGGCCUAAUAGUUUUGACAUUGAUUUGUCAAAUCUUUGGCUUACAUUUGCUUCAGGUUGUCAGUCUUGAUAAUACAGAAAACUCAUUCAAAUUUUGAUCUGAAAUCAGGUAGGGNUAC